AUUGAACGCUGGCGGCAUGCUUUACACAUGCAAGUCGAACGGUAACAGGCCGCAAGGUGCUGACGAGUGGCGAACGGGUGAGUAAUGCAUCGGAACGUGCCCAGUCGUGGGGGAUAACUACUCGAAAGAGUAGCUAAUACCGCAUACGAUCUAUGGAUGAAAGCGGGGGACCGUAAGGCCUCGCGCGAUUGGAGCGGCCGAUGUCAGAUUAGGUAGUUGGUGGGGUAAAGGCUCACCAAGCCAACGAUCUGGAGCUGGUCUGAGAGGAGGACCAGCCACACUGGGACUGAGACACGGCCCAGACUCCUACGGGAGGCAGCAGUGGGGAAUUUUGGACAAUGGGCGCAAGCCUGAUCCAGCAAUGCCGCGUGCAGGAAGAAGGCCUUCGGGUUGUAAACUGCUUUUGUACGGAACGAAACGGCUCUGGUUAAUACCCGGGGCUAAUGACGGUACCGUAAGAAUAAGCACCGGCUAACUACGUG
This 482-nucleotide ribosomal RNA is filed under the name uncultured bacterium. RNAcentral describes it as "partial 16S ribosomal RNA". It matches the Rfam family "Bacterial small subunit ribosomal RNA", at positions 30 to 507 of the family's 1533-position model. The record is from RNAcentral.